This 253-nucleotide ribosomal RNA is filed under the name uncultured bacterium. RNAcentral's name for it is "partial 16S ribosomal RNA". It matches the Rfam family "Bacterial small subunit ribosomal RNA", at positions 524 to 776 of the family's 1533-position model. The record is from RNAcentral.
UACGUAGGGUGCAAGCGUUAUCCGGAAUCACUGGGCGUAAAGCGUGCGUAGGUGGCGCGUUAAGUGAGAUGUUAAAUCGUGUGGCUCAACCAUAUCGAUGCAUCUCAUACUGGCGUGCUAGAGGGAAGCAGAGGCAAGUGGAAUUUGUAGUGUAGCAGUGAAAUGCGUAGAUAUUACAAGGAACACCAAUGGCGAAGGCAGCUUGCUGGGCUUCUUCUGACACUGAGGUACGAAAGCGUGGGGAGCGAACAGG